GAGAAGGAAGGAACUAGAAGAAGAACUAGAGGAAGGAAGAUCUGAAGUUGUAUCGUGUUCUGACCGACUUGAGGAGCUAAAAAUACAACAAGAGAACCUGGAGGAUGAGAGAGAAAGCAAGUUUUCCGUCCUACUUCAACUACAAUCAAGGGCUAGAUGGUAUAGACAGAUGAAAGAUCACAAUUACCGUUUGACACGAGGACGUGAUGAAGAAAAUCCGGAUGAUGAGUUUAAAGAGAUUAAAUCAAUCCUUCAAUCCCUCUCUGAAACCUUCCCACACUUCUCUAAAACCUUUAGAAAGGUUAGAAACAUGCUCAUCACUGUUUCUUUACUACAGGAGAGAACUAAACUGGAGUAGUUCUAAACUAUACAGGAGAGAACUAAAGUGGGGUAGUUCUAAACUAUACAGAGAGAACUAAACUGGAGUAGUUCUAAACUAUACAGGAGAGAACUAAAGUGGGGUAGUUCUAAACUAUACAGAGAGAACUAAACUGGAGUAGUUCUAAAAUAUACAGGAGAGAACUAAAGUGGAGUAGUUCUAAACUAUAAAGGAGAGAACUAAACUGGAGUAGUUCUAAACUAUAACAGGAGAGAACUAAACUGGAGUAGUUCUAACAAUAAAGUAGAGAACUAAACUGGAGUAGUUCUAAACUAUACAGGAGAGAACUAAACUGGAGUAGUGUUAAACUAUACAGGAGAGAACUAAACUGGAGUAGUUCUAAACUAUAAAGGAGAGAACUAAAGGGGAGGAGUUCUAAACUAUACAGGAGAGAACUAAACUGGAGUAGUUCUAAACUAUAAAAGGAGAGAACUAAACUGGAGUAGUUCUAAACUAUAUAGGAGAGAACUAAACUAGAGUAGGUCUAAACUAUACAGGAGAGAACAAAACUGGAGUUGUUCUAAACUAUAUAGGAGAGAACUAAACUGGAGUAGUUCUAAACUAUACAGCAGAGAACUAAACUGGAGUAGUUCUAAACUAUACAGGAGAGAACUAAACUGGAGUAGUUCUAAACUAUAACAGGAGAGAACUAAACUGGAGUAGUUUUAAACUAUAUAGGAGAGAACUAAACUAUAGUAGUUCUAAACUAUACAGGAGAGAACUAAACUG
Molecule: long non-coding RNA, 1108 nt
Organism: Eurytemora carolleeae
Lineage: Eukaryota; Metazoa; Arthropoda; Copepoda; Calanoida; Temoridae
Exons: 3
Source: RefSeq, a predicted model, not a curated record